CCUACGGGCGGCAGCAGUAGGGAAUCUUUCACAAUGGGCGAAAGCCUGAUGGAGCAACGCCGCGUACAGGAUGAAGGCCUUCGGGUUGUAAACUGCUUUUAUAAGCGAGAAAUAUGAUGGUAACUUAUGAAUAAGGAUCGGCUAACUACGUGCCAGCAGCCGCGGUCAUACGUAGGAUCCGAGCAUUAUCCGGAGUGACUGGGUGUAAAGAGUUGCGUAGGUGGCAUAAUAAGUAGCUAGUGAAAUCUGGUGGCUCAACCAUUCAGACUAUUAGCUAAACUGUUAAGCUCGAGACCGUUAGGGGUAACUGGAAUUUCUAGUGUAGGAGUGAAAUCCGUAGAUAUUAGAAGGAACACCAAUAGCGUAGGCAGGUUGCUGGGACGGUUCUGACACUAAGGCACGAAAGCGUAGGGAGCAAACGGGAUUAGAUACCCGUGUAGUC
Molecule: ribosomal RNA, 442 nt
Filed under: uncultured bacterium
Lineage: Bacteria
Description: partial 16S ribosomal RNA
Rfam family: Bacterial small subunit ribosomal RNA
Source: RNAcentral